UGGGGAAUUUUGGACGAAUGGGCGAAAGCCUGAUCCAGCAAUGCCGCGUGUGUGAAGAAGGCCUUCGGGUUGUAAAGCACUUUUUGUCCGGAAAGAAAUCCUUGGCUCUAAUACAGUCGGGGGAUGACGGUACCGGAAGAAUAAGCACCGGCUAACUACGUGCCAGCAGCCGCGGUAAUACGUAGGGUGCAAGCGUUAAUCGGAAUUACUGGGCGUAAAGCGUGCGCAGGCGGUUUGCUAAGACCGAUGUGAAAUCCCCGGGCUCAACCUGGGAACUGCAUUGGUGACUGGCAGGCUAGAGUAUGGCAGAGGGGGGUAGAAUUCCACGUGUAGCAGUGAAAUGCGUAGAGAUGUGGAGGAAUACCGAUGGCGAAGGCAGCCCCCUGGGCCAAUACUGACGCUCAUGCACGAAAGCGUGGGGAGCAAACAGGAUUAGAUACCCUGGUAGUCCACGCCCUAAACGAUGUCAACUAGUUGUUGGGGAUUCAUUUCCUUAGUAACGUAGCUAACGCGUGAAGUUGACCGCCUGGGGAGUACGGUCGCAAGAUUAAAACUCAAAGGAAUUGACGGGGUCAUAGCUG
This 581-nucleotide ribosomal RNA is filed under the name uncultured bacterium. RNAcentral describes it as "partial 16S ribosomal RNA". It matches the Rfam family "Bacterial small subunit ribosomal RNA", at positions 355 to 932 of the family's 1533-position model. The record is from RNAcentral.